AUUUAGGGGUUUGAUUAUGGCUCAGGAUGAACGCUGGCGGCGUGCUUAACACAUGCAAGUCGAACGAACCUUCGGGUUAGUGGCGGACGGGUGAGUAACGCGUGAGAAUCUGCCCUCAGGAGGGGGAUAACAGCUGGAAACGGCUGCUAAUACCCCAUAUGCCGCGAGGUGAAAUGAAUUUCGCCUGAGGAUGAGCUCGCGUCUGAUUAGCUAGUUGGUGUGGGUAAUGGCUCACCAAGGCAUCGAUCAGUAGCUGGUCUGAGAGGAUGAUCAGCCACACUGGGACUGAGGCACGGCCCAGACUCCUACGGGAGGCAGCAGUGGGGAAUUUUCCGCAAUGGGCGAAAGCCUGACGGAGCAACGCCGCGUGAGGGAUGAAGGCCUCUGGGCUGUAAACCUCUUUUAUCAAGGAAGAAGAUCUGACGGUACUUGAUGAAUAAGCCACGGCUAAUUCCGUGC
RNAcentral lists this ribosomal RNA (459 nucleotides) under uncultured bacterium. RNAcentral's name for it is "bacterial SSU rRNA". It matches the Rfam family "Bacterial small subunit ribosomal RNA", at positions 1 to 508 of the family's 1533-position model. The record is from RNAcentral.